This 254-nucleotide ribosomal RNA is filed under the name uncultured microorganism. RNAcentral's name for it is "partial 16S ribosomal RNA". It matches the Rfam family "Archaeal small subunit ribosomal RNA", at positions 474 to 727 of the family's 1478-position model. The record is from RNAcentral.
CACCGGCGGCUCGAGUGGUGGCCCCUUUUAUUGGGUCUAAAGCGUCCGUAGCCGGCUUGGCAAGUCCCCUGGGAAAUCUGGCGGCUUAACCGUCAGGCGUCCAGAGGAUACUGCCAGGCUUGGGACCGGGAGAGGUGAGAGGUACCUCAGGGGUAGGGGUGAAAUCUUGUGAUCCCUGAGGGACCACCAGUGGCGAAGGCGUCUCACUAGAACGGGUCCGACGGCCAGGGACGAAAGCUGGGGGCACGAACCGG